This 66-nucleotide transfer RNA is filed under the name Streptococcus suis. Its description in RNAcentral is "tRNA-Glu". It matches the Rfam family "tRNA". Rfam says of the family: Transfer RNA (tRNA) molecules are approximately 80 nucleotides in length. Their secondary structure includes four short double-helical elements and three loops (D, anti-codon, and T loops). Further hydrogen bonds mediate the characteristic L-shaped molecular structure. tRNAs have two regions of fundamental functional importance: the anti-codon, which is responsible for specific mRNA codon recognition, and the 3' end, to which the tRNAs corresponding amino acid is attached (by aminoacyl-tRNA synthetases). tRNAs cope with the degeneracy of the genetic code in two manners: having more than one tRNA (with a specific anti-codon) for a particular amino acid; and 'wobble' base-pairing, i.e. permitting non-standard base-pairing at the 3rd anti-codon position. RNAcentral also lists the same sequence under 6 other names. Lineage: Bacteria; Bacillati; Bacillota; Bacilli; Lactobacillales; Streptococcaceae. The record is from RNAcentral.
CCGUUGGUCAAGGGGUUAAGACACCGCCUUUUCACGGCGGUAACACGGGUUCGAAUCCCGUACGGA